This 497-nucleotide ribosomal RNA is filed under the name uncultured bacterium. RNAcentral's name for it is "partial 16S ribosomal RNA". It matches the Rfam family "Bacterial small subunit ribosomal RNA", at positions 28 to 507 of the family's 1533-position model. The record is from RNAcentral.
GAUGAACGCUGGCGGCGUGCCUAAUACAUGCAAGUCGAGCGAACAGACGAGGAGCUUGCUCCUCUGACGUUAGCGGCGGACGGGUGAGUAACACGUGGAUAACCUACCUAUAAUACUGGGAUAACUUCGGGAAGCCGGAGCUAAUACCGGAUAAUAUAUUGAACCGCAUGGUUCAAUAGUGAAAGACGGUUUUGCUGUCACUUAUAGAUGGAUCCGCGUCGCAUUAGCUAGUUGGUAAGGUAACGGCUUACCAAGGCAACGAUGCGUAGCCGACCUGAGAGGGUGAUCGGCCACACUGGAACUGAGACACGGUCCAGACUCCUACGGGAGGCAGCAGUAGGGAAUCUUCCGCAAUGGGCGCAAGCCUGACGGAGCCACACCGCGUGAGUGAUGAAGGUCUUCGGAUCGUAAAGCUCUGUUAUUAGGAAAGAACAAAUGUGUAAGAAACUCUGCCCGUCUUGACGGUACCUAAUCAGAAAGCCCCGGCUAACUUCGUG